RNAcentral lists this transfer RNA (91 nucleotides) under Streptococcus sp. RNAcentral describes it as "tRNA-Ser". It matches the Rfam family "tRNA". Rfam says of the family: Transfer RNA (tRNA) molecules are approximately 80 nucleotides in length. Their secondary structure includes four short double-helical elements and three loops (D, anti-codon, and T loops). Lineage: Bacteria; Bacillati; Bacillota; Bacilli; Lactobacillales; Streptococcaceae. The record is from RNAcentral.
GGAGAAUUACCCAAGAGGCUAAAGGGGGCGCUUUGCUAAUGCGCUAGGUGGCGUAAGCCAUGCGGGGGUUCGAAUCCCUCAUUCUCUGUCA